UGCAAUUCGAACGGGCUUCUUCGGAAGUCAGUGGCAGACCGGUGAGUAACACGUGGGAACGUGCCCUUCGGUUCGGAAUAACUCAGGGAAACUUGAGCUAAUACCGGAUACGCCCUUAUGGGGAAAGGUUUACUGCCGAAGGAUCGGCCCGCGUCUGAUUAGCUUGUUGGUGGGGUAACGGCCUACCAAGGCGACGAUCAGUAGCUGUCUGAGAGGAUGAUCAGCCACACUGGGACUGAGACACGGCCCAGACUCCUACGGGAAGGCAGCAGUGGGGGAUUAUUGGACAAUGGGCGCAAGCCUGAUCCAGCCAUGCCGCGUGAGUGAUGAAGGCCUUAGGGUUGUAAAGCUCUUUUGUCCGGGACGAUAAUGACGGUACCGGAAGAAUAAGCCCCGGCUAACUUCGUGCCAGCAGCCGCGGUAAUACGAAGGGGGCUAGCGUUGCUCGGAAUCACUGGGCGUAAGGGCGCGUAGGCGGCCGAUUAAGUCGGGGGUGAAAGCCUGUGGCUCAACCACAGAAUUGCCUUCGAUACUGGUUGGCUUGAGACCGGAAGAGGACAGCGGAACUGCGAGUGUAGGGGUGAAAUUCGUAGAUAAUCGCAAGAACACCAGUGGCGAAGGCGGCUGUCUGGUCCGNUUCUGACGCUGNNGCGCG
Molecule: ribosomal RNA, 655 nt
Filed under: Methylobacterium sp. B35
Lineage: Bacteria; Pseudomonadati; Pseudomonadota; Alphaproteobacteria; Hyphomicrobiales; Methylobacteriaceae
Description: bacterial SSU rRNA
Rfam family: Bacterial small subunit ribosomal RNA
Source: RNAcentral